AACAGCGGAAGCGUUUCCCGUGGAUGAAUGAU
RNAcentral lists this non-coding RNA (32 nucleotides) under Geobacter sulfurreducens KN400. The record is from RNAcentral. Lineage: Bacteria; Pseudomonadati; Thermodesulfobacteriota; Desulfuromonadia; Geobacterales; Geobacteraceae.